Molecule: ribosomal RNA, 253 nt
Filed under: uncultured bacterium
Lineage: Bacteria
Description: partial 16S ribosomal RNA
Rfam family: Bacterial small subunit ribosomal RNA
Source: RNAcentral
UACGUAGGGUGCGAGCGUUGUCCGGAAUUAUUGGGCGUAAAGAGCUUGUAGGCGGUUUGUCGCGUCUGCUGUGAAAAUCCGGGGCUCAACCCCGGACUUGCAGUGGGUACGGGCAGACUAGAGUGCGGUAGGGGUGACUGGAAUUCCUGGUGUAGCGGUGGAAUGCGCAGAUAUCAGGAGGAACACCGAUGGCGAAGGCAGGUCACUGGGCCGCAACUGACGCUGAGGAGCGAAAGCAUGGGGAGCAAACAGG